Non-coding RNA from Physcomitrium patens, 1869 nucleotides. Lineage: Eukaryota; Viridiplantae; Streptophyta; Bryopsida; Funariales; Funariaceae. The record is from RefSeq and is a predicted model, not a curated record.
AUAUUUACAGCACCCAUCUUUCAAUUUGUGUGAAUUAGGAGAAGGGCGACACGGAUUCGAUUCGUUUGGAGGUAUUUUCGUGACAAUUUGAAUCCCUUGGGGUUUCUUGCUUCAAGUUUGUGAAGAUAACAGUUCAGUUGGCUUUUCCCUGCUUUGUGGAUGAAGAGGAUUACGAAAGAUAUGAGAUGGUCUUAAAAAUAGAGUUCCUUGCAAAAUAUGUGUGCAAAUAAGUGCCCAUGCCUUCUCUAGUUGACUCGAUUCUUUUCAAGGAUCACACGAACACGGGACACAACUUCAUGCAGUGAGCAGGAUCCGCUUUCGAACUACUUGUUUGAGCCUGGAUCAUUCCAGCACGCUGGACUAACCUGACAAAAGUUUCUAGUCGUUGCAUAUGAUCCACAAGGAGAUUGAGUAAAAGACUCAAGAAGUUGUGAUGAAACGUAUAUGAACACACAAGUUUUCAACCAGCUGCUACAAUCACAAGAUGUGUGGAUACUGUUUCUGAUAUCAGUUUUUAUCGGUGUGUGCAUGAUUGAAGAGUUGUUGUAUGAACACACCCAUCCCCUGUGCCUCGUUUGCAUCGUGGACGGCCUUCUGUUCCAGAAGUUUUACGACCCACUGUUUUUCCUCGUGGAGGAGUAUCUAUACAUUCCUCUUUGCUUAAUUGGGGAGGAGAUCUACGACUUCACGAGCGAUUUUAUGGUGUACAUACUUCGCAUUUUGCGACUAAACGACCAUUUGCUUUACCAACAUCGUGUUUUCUAGAACCGCGAACAUGGCUCUUGAUCUGUUUGCACCUCUGAAAAAGAGCUUCAAUAUGGAGGAGGCAGGGGAGGGUGAAGCUUUAUGGAUUUCACCGACUGACCUUGCAGUGUUCAAGCGACAUCACAACGAUAACUAUGUAAAUGUGCCGUUUUGGUGUUGUUGCAGAUCCAAGGAUGGAGUAGAAACACCAAAGUAGAGCAUACAGGUGCUCGCACAAUGAUUGAGGCCCCAUCGAAGAUUUUUUCGCAAAAAGGUAACGGACUGACUACUGCUCUUGUAUGUCUCUUGUAGGUGCAAUUAAAACGCAGCCUACAGAUAGGAGCAGCCAAUCCUCCACAGUAACACUAACUUCACCACUACAUGCUGCUUCAAUAUAGCAGACAUCCUAUUUGGAUGGUAAUGCGUCUCUCCAAUUCUGGCAUUGAGGUAAGGCCGAUUUACAAUCGCUUGAGAUUGCGCAGUUUUUGACCGAGCUCGGCCACUUUUUUUAGAGGCUGAACUGAAUGAAGGAUAUUCUAAACCAAGAUGAAGGUUUCCACCACAUUUAAGAGAAGUAAGAUAUUGCACCUGAAUCUGAAGACAAUGGUGCAAUUCUGUUGACUCUUCUUAAACCACCAAUUUACUUCCUUUUCUGCAGCUUAAAUUUUAUGUCUCCCGGCCCACCUCCAUUUCAUUAGCUCAUAAUUUACUCCGUUAAUGCAUCGAUAAAUCUGAGCCUGGGGCUUCUGCAAUUUAUAAUCUCAAUGUAGCAUUUGAUGGCCCAAAUUCGUCAACCACAAUGCAACGCAAUCGUGGGCUCAGUGUAUUACUAUGAGCUAAACCCCCUUGAUCGUAUAGUGCUUCAGCCCACACAUUGCCAGUGAUUCAAUGGCAAUAUUCACCUAGUGAUGCACUGAUACCACUUCUUUGCAUGAACAAGUAAGAAGCUUUUCCGCAACUCCUUGUUUUGUACACAGACCAGAAAGACGUGCACACAACAGAGAGACAAUGUUGCAGCAAAGAAUGCUGUCAGAAUUUCCAGAUUAGAGUCCCAGUACAAUCCACUUAUGAACACGCACAUGUUUUCGUCGGAUUGUGACACUUAAUAGAACAUCAGUUCUCAUA